RNAcentral lists this unclassified non-coding RNA (1548 nucleotides) under Penaeus chinensis. Its description in RNAcentral is "hydroxysteroid dehydrogenase-like protein 1, transcript variant X2". The record is from RNAcentral. Lineage: Eukaryota; Metazoa; Arthropoda; Malacostraca; Decapoda; Penaeidae.
UUAGUAUCAACUCAGAGUUCAAGCAGAGAUGUGGAACCUCGAAGAGCGCCUGCUUCUCCUGUUUCCGAAGGGCGUGCUCGGGGUCCUCGCGCUCCUUGGGAUCCUGGUUGUGGGGAAGGUGCUCGCUUGCUCGGUGUGGGGAGCUUUGGGGGCGCUGAGGACGUACGUGUGGGCCAGGCUGUGGGCCAAGAGCCUCCCUGAAACCUACGGGAAAUGGGCAGUGGUGACUGGCUCAACGGACGGCAUAGGGAAGAGUUAUGCCAAGGAGCUCGCUAAGAAGGGAAUGAACAUCUUGCUCAUCGCGAGAAAUAUGGAGAAACUACAGAAAGUUGCUGAAGAAAUUAGAUCUAAAUCCGGGGUUCAGACGGACAUCGUGCAAGCCGACUUCGCGCUGGGUCGUCCAAUCUAUGAAAACAUUGCAAAGCAACUGAAGGGGAAAGACAUCGGAAUUCUGGUGAACAACGUGGGCAUGCUGAUCACUCCGGGUCCGUUCGAGAAAUUAACGGAAGACAACAUCUGGGCGUACGUGAACGUGAACGUGGCGUCCGUGAUGGCCAUGACUCAACUGGUUUUGCCCGAGUUGCUCCGGAGGAGGAAGGGCGCCGUCGUCAACGUGUCGUCCGUCGGCUCUUACUUCCCGAUGGCUUACUUUCAGGUGUAUGCGGCGUCGAAGGCCUUCGUGAGCAGCUUCACCCGCUCCUUGCAGGAGGAGUGCGCCCCCUCGGGCGUGACCGUCCAGUGUUUGGAGCCGGGCGCCGUGUCCACCAACAUGAUCUCCUUCGACAAGGACUUUCACACCCCAGGGUUCUUCACUCCCACCGCCGACGCCUUCGCCGCCAGCGCCGUGGCCUCCCUCGGCCACGCCAGCCGCACCACGGGGUACUGGACGCACUGGCUGCAGCUGGCGAUGGCGAGGACUUUACCCGAGUGGUUUAUUCUGAGCAGCUACAAGGCGAGGAUGGAUGAUAAGCUUAAAAAGUCAAAAUAAAAUCGAUGGAAUUAUUGGACAAUCCCUGUGUGAUCCGAGAUUACGAAAAACAGUAUAUACCUUUAAAAGUUCACUACAUCUGUCAACGAACAAUCAAACAGACUGUGUGCUGCGUGGUGACCUGCCAUUUCUUGCACACAGGGGAUAACAAACAGUAUGUCACACCAAGAAUGUCCAUUGUAUCAAAUGUAAUCAAACUAAAUUAUUAUUAGUAGUAGUAGUAUUAUCAUUAUUACUAUUAUUAAUUAUUAUUAUUAUCAUUAUUAUCAUUAUCGUUAUUAUUUUUUUUAUUAUUAUUACUAUUAUUAUAAUUAUUAUUAUUAUUAUUAUUAUUAUACUUUUGUUCGCACGGUCAUUUGUGAUGUCAUGAUUGCAGAGAUGUGUUAAUAAUAUUUGUUUAAAGUACUUUGUUUUAUAAUUUGCCCUCUUUUAUUCAUGGAAUAAUGAUUUUGAUUUGUUCUAAUUAUAAAUAUUUGUACUUUUGUAUUUAUCUGAAUAAUGAACGCUGUGACGUCACUAUAAAUACCCCUAAGACAACAAUAAACAGAGUACCGACUGGA